RNAcentral lists this ribosomal RNA (301 nucleotides) under uncultured bacterium. Its description in RNAcentral is "partial 16S ribosomal RNA". It matches the Rfam family "Bacterial small subunit ribosomal RNA", at positions 509 to 809 of the family's 1533-position model. The record is from RNAcentral.
CAGUAGCCACGGUAAUACGGAGGGGGCUAGCGUUGUUCGGAAUUACUGGGCGUAAAGCGCACGUAGGCGGCUUGGUAAGUUAGAGGUGAAAGCCCGGAGCUCAACUCCGGAAUUGCCUUUAAGACUGCCGAGCUAGCAGGUGAGAGAGGUAAGUGGAAUUCCGAGUGUAGAGGUGAAAUUCGUAGAUAUUCGGAAGAACACCAGUGGCGAAGGCGGCUUACUGGCUCAUACUGGACGCUGAGGUGCGAAAGCGUGGGGAGCAAACAGGAUUAGAUACCCGUGUAGUCCCUGUCUCUUAUAA